AAUCAACGCUGGCGGCGUGCCUCAGACAUGCAAGUCGAACGAUUAAAGCUCUCUUCGGAGAGUGCAUAGAGUGGCGCACGGGUGAGUAACACGUAAGUAAUCUACCCUCGAGUGGGGAAUAACGUCCGGAAACGGGCGCUAAUACCGCAUAAUGCAGCGGCAUCACAAGAUGACAGUUGUUAAAGAUUUAUCGCUUGAGGAGGAGCUUGCGGCAGAUUGGCUAGUUGGUAAGGUAACGGCUUACCAAGGCUACGAUCUGUAACCGGUCUUAGAGGACGGUCGGUCACACUGACACUGAAUAACGGGUCAGACUCCUACGGGAGGCAGCAGUCGGGAAUUUUGGGCAAUGGGCGAAAGCCUGACCCAGCAACGCCGCGUGAAGGAUGAAGUAUUUCGGUAUGUAAACUUCGAAAGAAUAGGAAGAACUAAUGACGGUACUAUUUAUAAGGUCCGGCUAACUACGUGCCAGCAGCCGCAGUAA
RNAcentral lists this ribosomal RNA (481 nucleotides) under uncultured bacterium. RNAcentral describes it as "partial 16S ribosomal RNA". It matches the Rfam family "Bacterial small subunit ribosomal RNA", at positions 32 to 523 of the family's 1533-position model. The record is from RNAcentral.